AAAUAAGAAGUAAAAAAUUACCUUUAGUUUCGACCUAAAAUUUUGAUGCAUAAACAUCCUUAUUUA
This 66-nucleotide transfer RNA is filed under the name Graptodytes varius. Its description in RNAcentral is "tRNA-Arg". The record is from RNAcentral. Lineage: Eukaryota; Metazoa; Arthropoda; Insecta; Coleoptera; Dytiscidae.